RNAcentral lists this small RNA (132 nucleotides) under Salmonella enterica. RNAcentral describes it as "RtT sRNA". It matches the Rfam family "RtT RNA". From Rfam's summary of the family: This family represents a bacterial cis-regulatory element known as RtT RNA. The exact function of RtT is unknown although it is thought that it may be involved in changing the cellular response in relation to amino acid starvation. RNAcentral also lists the same sequence under 3 other names. The record is from RNAcentral. Lineage: Bacteria; Pseudomonadati; Pseudomonadota; Gammaproteobacteria; Enterobacterales; Enterobacteriaceae.
GUUUGCACUUGUCGGGGAAGGGUGAGAACCUUCGAUUAAGGUUCGACUCGAGCGAAAGCGAGAGAACGUUGCCAACGGCAACGGCCCGUAGGGGGAGGAGCGAAGCGACGAAUAAUCCUUCCCCCACCACCA